GCCAGUAUGGUGGCUAUGACCCUCGGCUUGUAACCGAGUGGGUUUGGGUUCGAAUCCCAAGUAAGACA
Molecule: transfer RNA, 68 nt
Filed under: Trichonephila inaurata madagascariensis
Lineage: Eukaryota; Metazoa; Arthropoda; Arachnida; Araneae; Nephilidae
Description: tRNA-Thr
Source: RNAcentral